GAGGGUAUAGCUUAGUGGUAAAGUGCUUGCUUAGCGUGCUUGAGGUCCUGGGUUUAAUCCCCAGUACUGCCA
RNAcentral lists this transfer RNA (72 nucleotides) under Camelus bactrianus (Bactrian camel). It matches the Rfam family "tRNA". From Rfam's summary of the family: Transfer RNA (tRNA) molecules are approximately 80 nucleotides in length. Their secondary structure includes four short double-helical elements and three loops (D, anti-codon, and T loops). The record is from Rfam by way of RNAcentral. RNAcentral also lists the same sequence under 1 other name. Lineage: Eukaryota; Metazoa; Chordata; Mammalia; Artiodactyla; Camelidae.